RNAcentral lists this long non-coding RNA (243 nucleotides) under Musa acuminata (dwarf banana). RNAcentral's name for it is "long non-coding RNA (MACU_LNC007261)". Lineage: Eukaryota; Viridiplantae; Streptophyta; Magnoliopsida; Zingiberales; Musaceae. The record is from RNAcentral.
GUGAUUCAGAGGCCGAACAGGACGGGAAUCACAAGGAGUUGUGAUCGGUAAGAGUUGUCUACCUUUUAGGCUUAGUGUGAUUGGUCGAGUCCCUCGAGGUUACACUAAGACGCUGAUUGGAUCCUGAUCCCCACUAGAAGUCUGCCUGAGACUUCCGUUUCACGUGCUGAGGGUGUCGCGUGACUCGUUAGUAAAAUAGUGGGAGCAUAUUAAGAUAGAAGUCCAUAUCUUGAUAGUUUAUUU